RNAcentral lists this ribosomal RNA (343 nucleotides) under uncultured Pseudomonadota bacterium. Its description in RNAcentral is "bacterial SSU rRNA". It matches the Rfam family "Bacterial small subunit ribosomal RNA", at positions 29 to 351 of the family's 1533-position model. The record is from RNAcentral. Lineage: Bacteria; Pseudomonadati; Pseudomonadota.
AAUGAACGCUGGCGGCGUGCUUAACACAUGCAAGUCGUACGAGAACUCUUCUGCUUGCAGAAGAAAGUAAAGUGGCGUACGGGUGAGUAACGCGUGGGUAAUCUACCUUCAAAUCGGGGAUAACAACGCGAAAGCGAUGCUAAUACCGGAUAAUAUCUCAAGAACCCUGGUUUAUGCGAUUAAAGGUGGCCUCUAUAUAUAAGCUACCGUUUGAAGAUGAGCCCGCGUACCAUUAGCUUGUUGGUAGGGUAAUGGCCUACCAAGGCUUCGAUGGUUAGCUGGUCUGAGAGGAUGAUCAGCCACACUGGAACUGACACACGGUCCAGACACCUACGGGAGGCAG